CAAUGGUGGGGUAUUGCCCAAUGGUGGGGUAUAUUGUCCAAUGGUGGGACAAUUGGCUCCGUUUAGAGGUGAAAUCCGGAUCAUGAGCAUGCACAUAUAUAUUGACCAUUAGGGACUAACGCAUUUUAGUCAGAGUGUAACUUGGUGCUAGGGGUGAUGAUUAUGAAACUGGAGUAAUGUGUCAUGUAUGUUUCAUUUAUUUUUAUUUUCAUGAAAUCUAUGUUGUAUGCCUAUUUGUACCAUGUUUGUUAGUUGGAGAUGACCCUUACUUUUGGACAGAUGACCGUCGAUCCGUG
This 296-nucleotide long non-coding RNA is filed under the name Medicago truncatula (barrel medic). Its description in RNAcentral is "long non-coding RNA (MTRU_LNC005496)". The record is from RNAcentral. Lineage: Eukaryota; Viridiplantae; Streptophyta; Magnoliopsida; Fabales; Fabaceae.